CAAGUCAGAUGUGAAAUGCCACAGCUCAACUGUGGCACUGCGUUUGAAACUGUCAGGCUUGAGUAUUCCAGGGGUGUGCGGAACUGCCAGUGGAGCGGUGAAAUGCGUUGAUAUUGGCAGGAACACCGGAGGCGAAGGCGGCACACUGGGGGAUAACUGACGCUGAGGUACGAAAGCCAGGGUAGCGAACGGGAUUAGAUACCCCGGUAGUCCU
This 214-nucleotide ribosomal RNA is filed under the name uncultured Symbiodinium. Its description in RNAcentral is "partial Bacterial small subunit ribosomal RNA". It matches the Rfam family "Bacterial small subunit ribosomal RNA", at positions 584 to 797 of the family's 1533-position model. Lineage: Eukaryota; Dinophyceae; Suessiales; Symbiodiniaceae. The record is from RNAcentral.